GAGGAAUAUUGGUCAAUGGACGAGAGUCUGAACCAGCCAAGUAGCGUGAAGGAUGAAGGUUCUAUGGAUUGUAAACUUCUUUUAUACGGGAAUAAACGAAUCCACGCGUGGAUUUUUGCAUGUACCGUAUGAAUAAGGAUCGGCUAACUCCGUGCCAGCAGCCGCGGUAAUACGGAGGAUCCGAGCGUUAUCCGGAUUUAUUGGGUUUAAAGGGAGCGUAGAUGGGUUGUUAAGUCAGUUGUGAAAGUUUGCGGCUCAACCGUAAAAUUGCAAUUGAUACUGGCAGUCUUGAGUACAGUUGAGGUAGGCGGAAUUCGUGGUGUAGCGGUGAAAUGCUUAGAUAUCACGAAGAACUCCGAUUGCGAAGGCAGCUUACUAACCUGUAACUGACAUUGAUGCUCGAAAGUGUGGGUAUCAAACAGGAUUAGAUACCCUGGUAGUCCACACGGUAAACGAUGAAUACUCGCUGUAGGCGAUAUACAGUCUGCGGCCAAGCGAAAGCAUUAAGUAUUCCACCUGGGGAGUACGCCGGCAACGGUGAAACUCAAAGGAAUUGACGGGGGCCCACACAAGCGGAGGAACAUGUGGUUUAAUUCGAUGAUACGCGAGGAACCUUACCCGGGCUUAAAUUGCAACCGAAUAUGGCGGAAACGCUAUAGCUAGCAAUAGCGGUUGUGAAGGUGCUGCAUGGUUGUCGUCAGCUCGUGCCGUGAGGUGUCGGCUUAAGUGCCAUAACGAGCACAACCCUUGCCGAUAGUUAUUAACAGGUUAUGCUGAGGACUCUGUCGGGACUGCCAUCGUAAGAUGUGAGGAAGGUGGGGAUGACGUCAAAUCAGCACGGCCCUUACGUCCGGGGCUACACACGUGUUACAAUGGGGGGUACAGAGGGCUGCUACCACGCAAGUGGAUGCCAAUCCCAAAAACCUCUCUCAGUUCGGAUUGAAGUCUGCAACCCGACUUCAUGAAGCUGGAUUCGCUAGUAAUCGCGCAUCAGCCACGGCGCGGUGAAUACGUUCCCG
Molecule: ribosomal RNA, 1019 nt
Filed under: uncultured organism
Description: bacterial SSU rRNA
Rfam family: Bacterial small subunit ribosomal RNA
Source: RNAcentral